This is a long non-coding RNA of Hippocampus zosterae (dwarf seahorse), 445 nucleotides long. RefSeq lists it as uncharacterized. Lineage: Eukaryota; Metazoa; Chordata; Actinopteri; Syngnathiformes; Syngnathidae. The transcript is spliced from 3 exons. The record is from RefSeq and is a predicted model, not a curated record.
GUAAGAAUGAAGUGGAUCUCUCACUCCAUUCAUGGUCUCCAGAGGGUUCAGUCAGGUCACUUGGUGUCUGCAACAUAACAUUACGGUGUCAAAAUAUUCAGCAUUCUUCAUUCUGACCAGUUAAGAAAUGAAUAAACAUUAAUUAUCAUUGAACAUUGCUCACGGGAGAGUUUGGGAUGAAUAUACCACACUAUAGAAAGUUAACACUGUUCAGUUCUGUGGAACAGCAAUAUGGGGACAUUCGAACACAGGCUCUCCAGAGUUAGGUUAAGACAAAAGUCAUGUCACCUGAAACACACUCAGGUUUUUCAGGUCUAAAGAAAUAUGAGGACAUGACGACUGAAAUCACGGAGAGUCCAUGUUUCUGAUUUAUAACUUCUCCUGUGUUUGUCAAAGAAAGCUGAAAACUCAAACCUAGUAUAUCAUGAUAAGAAGUAGUAACCUG